AGCAGCUGCGAUAAUUCCAGCUCCAAUAGCGUAUAUUAAAGUUGUUGCAGUUAAAAAGCUCGUAGUUGAAUUUCGGGGUUAGUAGGCUGGUCAUGCCUCCGGUAUGUACUGGUCUCACUGAUUCCUCCUUCCUGAUGAACCGUAAUGCCAUUAAUUUGGUGUUGCGGGGAAUUUGGACUGUUACUUUGAAAAAUUAGAGUGUUUAAAGCAGGCUAACGCUUGAAUACAUUAGCAUGGAAUAAUGAAAUAGGACGUUCGAUCCUAUUUUGUUGGUUUCUAGGAUUGACGUAAUGAUUAAUAGGGAUAGUUGGGGGCAUUAGUAUUCAAUUGUCAGAGGUGAAAUUCUUGGAUUUAUUGAAGACUAACUACUGCGAAAGCAUUUGCCAAGGAUGUUUUCAUUAAUCAAGAACGAAAGUUAGGGGAUCGAAGACGAUCAGAUACCGUCGUAGUCUUAACCAUAAACUAUGCCGACUGGGGAUCGGAUGAUGUUAAUUUUUUAAUGACUCAUUCGGCGCCUUAU
RNAcentral lists this ribosomal RNA (520 nucleotides) under uncultured Glomus. RNAcentral's name for it is "SSU rRNA". It matches the Rfam family "Eukaryotic small subunit ribosomal RNA", at positions 569 to 1091 of the family's 1831-position model. Lineage: Eukaryota; Fungi; Glomeromycota; Glomeromycetes; Glomerales; Glomeraceae. The record is from RNAcentral.